GUACUCUUAGCCCAGUGGUUAGAGCAUCACUCUUCAAUUUUGAGGUUGCAGGUUCAAUUCCUGUAGUGCACA
This 72-nucleotide transfer RNA is filed under the name Phakopsora pachyrhizi. Its description in RNAcentral is "tRNA-Sec". It matches the Rfam family "tRNA". From Rfam's summary of the family: Transfer RNA (tRNA) molecules are approximately 80 nucleotides in length. Their secondary structure includes four short double-helical elements and three loops (D, anti-codon, and T loops). Lineage: Eukaryota; Fungi; Basidiomycota; Pucciniomycetes; Pucciniales; Phakopsoraceae. The record is from RNAcentral.